RNAcentral lists this ribosomal RNA (301 nucleotides) under uncultured bacterium. Its description in RNAcentral is "partial 16S ribosomal RNA". It matches the Rfam family "Bacterial small subunit ribosomal RNA", at positions 509 to 807 of the family's 1533-position model. The record is from RNAcentral.
CAGCAGCCGCGGUAAUACGGAGGGAGCUAGCGUUGUUCGGAAUUACUGGGCGUAAAGCGCGCGUAGGCGGUUACUCAAGUCAGAGGUGAAAGCCCGGGGCUCAACCCCGGAACUGCCUUUGAAACUAGGUGACUAGAAUCUUGGAGAGGUCAGUGGAAUUCCGAGUGUAGAGGUGAAAUUCGUAGAUAUUCGGAAGAACACCAGUGGCGAAGGCGACUGACUGGACAAGUAUUGACGCUGAGGUGCGAAAGCGUGGGGAGCAAACAGGAUUAGAUACCCCGGUAGUCCCUGUCUCUUAUAC